GCCGAAGUGGCGAAAAUGGUAGACGCAAUUGAUUCAAAAUCAAUCACUGUUAAGGUAUGCCGGUUCGACUCCGGCCUUCGGCA
RNAcentral lists this transfer RNA (83 nucleotides) under Blochmannia endosymbiont of Colobopsis nipponica. RNAcentral describes it as "tRNA-Leu". It matches the Rfam family "tRNA". Rfam says of the family: Transfer RNA (tRNA) molecules are approximately 80 nucleotides in length. Their secondary structure includes four short double-helical elements and three loops (D, anti-codon, and T loops). Further hydrogen bonds mediate the characteristic L-shaped molecular structure. tRNAs have two regions of fundamental functional importance: the anti-codon, which is responsible for specific mRNA codon recognition, and the 3' end, to which the tRNAs corresponding amino acid is attached (by aminoacyl-tRNA synthetases). tRNAs cope with the degeneracy of the genetic code in two manners: having more than one tRNA (with a specific anti-codon) for a particular amino acid; and 'wobble' base-pairing, i.e. permitting non-standard base-pairing at the 3rd anti-codon position. The record is from RNAcentral. Lineage: Bacteria; Pseudomonadati; Pseudomonadota; Gammaproteobacteria; Enterobacterales; Enterobacteriaceae.